Glycine soja is the source of this 477-nucleotide long non-coding RNA. RefSeq lists it as uncharacterized. The transcript is spliced from 3 exons. NCBI's taxonomy places the organism in Eukaryota, Viridiplantae, Streptophyta, Magnoliopsida, Fabales, Fabaceae. The record is from RefSeq and is a predicted model, not a curated record.
UCUAGUACUACUACAUCUGUACACCCAAAAGAAAAUCUAGUCUGUUAUUUGUAUUUCUGUUCGGUAAAAAUGAGUUCACAAUCUCAACGCUCUGCCUCUAGGAGUGAUUCUAAAAAAGAGCACGAUAGCAUAAGCAAUUAUCUGGGCAACAAGGCAGAUUCUGCUGCCUCUAGGAAUGAUUCUGAGAAAAAGCAUGAUAGCACAAGCAAUCAUUUGGGAAACAAGGCAGAUCCCAUAGGAAAAACGGGUUCUAAGAAAAGCCAAGGUCGAUAUUAACUCUUGGCUUUACUCAUGCAGGUUAAAACAAUAUGAAAUGGCAAAUAGGUUUAUUUGCAAGUGGAACUUAUGUGGGAUUAAAGUUUACAACAAAUUGUACUAUUAGUUGUUAUAGAUUCAAUGUUUGUUUCUUAAUUACUUGUUUAGACUCUAAAACUAUUUAUAAAUAAAAUAUUAUAAAUACGAAGAACUUCAUAUUAA